Molecule: long non-coding RNA, 1068 nt
Organism: Pseudomyrmex gracilis
Lineage: Eukaryota; Metazoa; Arthropoda; Insecta; Hymenoptera; Formicidae
Exons: 2
Source: RefSeq, a predicted model, not a curated record
AAAAAAAAAAAAAAAAAAAAAAAAAAAAAAAANAAAAACAAAAACAAAAAAAACGAAACAAUGUUGACGAUUUUCUCAAGAGAGGAAAAACGCGAGAAACGUCGAAAAAAGAAGAUAAAGUCAUUUUCAAGUUGUUUCAGCAAAAGUCUCUGUUAACAUUGCGACAAGGACAAAAGUUAUUGGCCAAAAAGGGAGUGAGAACAUCUCUUGGCACAGUACAAUGUUGAAAUCUUUCCUCAAACCUCAGCAUCGAAAAGCGACGCUUAUUGGCUAUGCAAAAUUUGAAUCAUGAUUAGAGUAAUGUGAUAUUUACUGAAUCGCAUUUUUGCACAUGAAAAUUUGCACUCCUGCCAAAUACACAUGAUCUCUUCCGGGAAAAUCACCUUUGCAGCGCACCUUUAAACAUCUAGUUAAGGUCCAUGUUUGAGGGCUUCACGAUUUUGGUACUUUAUACUUGUUUACUCACAAUUGAAAUGCUGAAAAGAUGCUCAAGCUCUAUCGACGUGCAUUGUAGACAUUAAAGUCUGCUGAAAAGUGGUUUGGAUCGGAUAAUGAAUCGUGGAUACUGCAAGAGGACAAUGACCCGAAACACCGCAGCCGUUUGUGCACUGUAUAGAAAGCCGAAAAUAAUAUUCAGACAUUGAAUUGGCCUGCGCAGUCGCCUGAUGCAAAUCCAAUUGAAAAUGUGCGGUCCAUUAUUAAGAGAAAGCUUCAAGGAAAGCGUGUGUUCACUUUAAAGCAGUUGUGUCAUUAUGUACGAUUUAUUUGGCGAUCGUUAUCGCAAUAAUAUGCCAAAACAAUGUAAGCAAAUUCUCGACCAAGAUAUAAUUCUCUUAGUCAGUAAUGGAGACUGGACGACUUACUAAAUAUGCAGACGACGCUCUUGUUUCACUGUAAAUCAAUAAGGGUUUUUUUAUUGUUUUUACUUCUUUAAGCAGAAGAAAAAUGAUUUUGAUUGAUUCUUUUGUUACACUCUGCAGUAAACAAAUCAGUUGAGGCGAAUGUAUAUACAUACAAGCUACUGAAGAUAUGUAAUAAUAACAAUAUACGUAUGGUUUGAAACUUUUA